Molecule: ribosomal RNA, 427 nt
Filed under: uncultured Herminiimonas sp.
Lineage: Bacteria; Pseudomonadati; Pseudomonadota; Betaproteobacteria; Burkholderiales; Oxalobacteraceae
Description: bacterial SSU rRNA
Rfam family: Bacterial small subunit ribosomal RNA
Source: RNAcentral
UGGGGAAUUUUGGACAAUGGGGGAAACCCUGAUCCAGCAAUGCCGCGUGAGUGAAGAAGGCCUUCGGGUUGUAAAGCUCUUUUGUCAGGGAAGAAACGGUUCGAUCUAAUACAUUGGGCUAAUGACGGUACCUGAAGAAUAAGCACCGGCUAACUACGUGCCAGCAGCCGCGGUAAUACGUAGGGUGCAAGCGUUAAUCGGAAUUACUGGGCGUAAAGCGUGCGCAGGCGGUUAUGUAAGACAGAUGUGAAAUCCCCGGGCUUAACCUGGGAAUGGCAUUUGUGACUGCAUGGCUAGAGUUUGGCAGAGGGGGGUAGAAUUCCACGUGUAGCAGUGAAAUGCGUAGAUAUGUGGAGGAAUACCGAUGGCGAAGGCAGCCCCCUGGGUCAAGACUGACGCUCAUGCACGAAAGCGUGGGGAGCAAACA